AUUGAACGCUGGCGGCAUGCCUUACACAUGCAAGUCGAACGGCAGCGGACCUUCGGGUGCCGGCGAGUGGCGAACGGGUGAGUAAUAUAUCGGAACGUACCUUUCAGUGGGGGAUAACGUAGCGAAAGUUACGCUAAUACCGCAUAUUCUGUGAGCAGGAAAGCAGGGGAUCGCAAGACCUUGCGCUGAUUGAGCGGCCGAUAUCAGAUUAGCUAGUUGGUGAGGUAAAGGCUCACCAAGGCGACGAUCUGUAGCGGGUCUGAGAGGAUGAUCCGCCACACUGGAACUGAGACACGGUCCAGACUCCUACGGGAGGCAGCAGUGGGGAAUUUUGGACAAUGGGCGCAAGCCUGAUCCAGCACUGCCGCGUGAGUGAAGAAGGCC
RNAcentral lists this ribosomal RNA (384 nucleotides) under uncultured bacterium. RNAcentral's name for it is "bacterial SSU rRNA". It matches the Rfam family "Bacterial small subunit ribosomal RNA", at positions 30 to 416 of the family's 1533-position model. The record is from RNAcentral.